UACGGAGGGUGCAAACGUUGCUCGGAAUUAUUGGGCGUAAAGCGCACGUAGGCGGACCAUCAAGUCGGAUGUGAAAUCCCUCGGCUUAACCGAGGACGUGCAUUCGAUACUGAUGGCCUUGAGUACGAAAGAGGAUCGCGGAAUUCCCGGUGUAGAGGUGAAAUUCGUAGAUAUCGGGAGGAACACCAGUGGCGAAGGCGGCGAUCUGGGUCGAUACUGACGCUGAGGUGCGAAAGCGUGGGGAGCAAACAGG
This 253-nucleotide ribosomal RNA is filed under the name uncultured bacterium. RNAcentral's name for it is "partial 16S ribosomal RNA". It matches the Rfam family "Bacterial small subunit ribosomal RNA", at positions 524 to 776 of the family's 1533-position model. The record is from RNAcentral.